Molecule: ribosomal RNA, 490 nt
Filed under: uncultured bacterium
Lineage: Bacteria
Description: partial 16S ribosomal RNA
Rfam family: Bacterial small subunit ribosomal RNA
Source: RNAcentral
GAUGAACGCUAGCGGCAGGCCUAAUACAUGCAAGUCGAACGGGAUCCAGAUCAAAGCUUGCUUUGGUUUGGUGAGAGUGGCGUACGGGUGCGUAACGCGUGAGCAACCUACCCUUGUCAGGGGGAUAGCCCGGCGAAAGUCGGAUUAAUACCGCAUGACAUCAUUGAGAGGCAUCUUUCGAUGAUCAAAGAUUUAUCGGACAAGGAUGGGCUCGCGUGACAUUAGCUAGUUGGUAAGGUAACGGCUUACCAAGGCCACGAUGUCUAGGGGCUCUGAGAGGAGAAUCCCCCACACUGGUACUGAGACACGGACCAGACUCCUACGGGAGGCAGCAGUAAGGAAUAUUGGUCAAUGGACGGAAGUCUGAACCAGCCAUGCCGCGUGCAGGAAGACGGCCCUAUGGGUUGUAAACUGCUUUUAUACGGGAACAAACGUCGGUACGUGUACCGGUCUGAGUGUACCGUAAGAAUAAGAAUCGGCUAACUCCGUG